CAAAGUUGUAUAAAACACUGGUUUAAUUGAUGUUAACAUGAUAUUAAAGAUUAUUUUCUAUCAAACUUUUUAGAGAUCUAAUUCACCAAGCGUGCAAAAUAGGACUUCAACUUUCAUUCAAGAUAUUUGGUUAAAAUAACGGUCAGCUACACACAGUGUUUUUCUAAUGCACGGCAAGAUCAAAAAGGGAUCUCGCAGAGCCACCGUCAGAGAAUCUACACCGAGGGUGGCAAAAGAACCUCAGGGAUAGAUCCUCAAGAGUUUCGUCAGAAAUUAGUCAAAGUUCUUAGUCUCUUUCCAAUUUAUUAUCAACUUUUCAGUAGGUUGAUCAAUUGGUAACUGAGGAUGGAACAGAGUCUUAACGACAAGUGUUCCUAACUACAUAACGGUUAAUACCUAUCCAUAUACAAUGCUACGUGUUUGUUAAGCCUAAAAUCCACCUCGAAAAGUGACGACAUCACCAUAUUGGCAAACCACUUCCCGUUAGAUUUAUACCUCCAUUGAAAGGCGCGGAACAAUUCAGCCAAAAGAUCCACCAGAAUAGAUUAGAAUAGACCAUCGAUCGACCGGUGUUUCGGAAAUACUGUUCCGCUGCAACAAAGGACCCAUAAACUGUAGCGCUGGCGAAAUCGACGCCGAACGAUAAACACUUGCCUUAUGAUGUGAUGAUGACGCGAUUUGCGAAGUACCUCUACUUAGUAGUCGUGUAGUGUAUGGGAUUAUAAUUAUUGGUUUCGGUGUCACAGUACUCGGCAGGGUAGUAGAAGUGUUGAGCGGUGCCAUUGUAUCCAAGACAGUCAGUCGCUUGUUGCAAGAUUAGAAAAUUUAUGAUACGAUCAGAGUUAGACCACCAAGCAAAAAGAAGGUGUUGACGAACCACGAAGAGGUGAACUCGACGUCAUUUUCGUACUGCAGCCCUAAGUUCGUUUCGCUUUCGAGAUAAUAGAUUUGGAAAUGGCGACGGGUUGCCAACAUGGUGCACUGGAUGCGUUGCAGUCAGGGAUGGUAGCAUGUCUUUUUUUAAUUGAAAGUCUCCCUGAAAUUGGUUGAAUUCUUGAAGAUAAUAUAAACGAGAAUCCUAGAGGAAGUCCUGGAGAAAUCAAUGCAAGAAUCACUGGAUAAAAUACUUGGAGAACUAAGGACUUUCUCGAAACAAGUCUGCGAUAAUCCUUGGGGGUCAUUUUUGUGGCCAUCCUUAGAAAAAUCCCAGAUCGAAUUCUUGACUGUACUUGAAACGAAAUUUUCAGAAAGUCUGUUAAUAAUCACUAAAUAAACUCCUGAAAUUUGUAUUUCCUUGA
Molecule: long non-coding RNA, 1298 nt
Organism: Aedes aegypti (yellow fever mosquito)
Lineage: Eukaryota; Metazoa; Arthropoda; Insecta; Diptera; Culicidae
Exons: 2
Source: RefSeq, a predicted model, not a curated record